This 497-nucleotide ribosomal RNA is filed under the name uncultured bacterium. Its description in RNAcentral is "partial 16S ribosomal RNA". It matches the Rfam family "Bacterial small subunit ribosomal RNA", at positions 28 to 507 of the family's 1533-position model. The record is from RNAcentral.
GAUGAACGCUGGCGGCGUGCCUAAUACAUGCAAGUCGAGCGAACAGACGAGGAGCUUGCUCCUCUGACGUUAGCGGCGGACGGGUGAGUAACACGUGGAUAACCUACCUAUAAGACUGGGAUAACUUCGGGAAACCGGAGCUAAUACCGGAUAAUAUAUUGAACCGCAUGGUUCAAUAGUGAAAUACGGUUUUGCUGUCACUUAUAGAUGGAUCCGCGCCGCAUUAGCUAGUUGGUAAGGUAACGGCUUACCAAGGCAACGAUGCGUAGCCGACCUGAGAGGGUGAUCGGCCACACUGGAACUGAGACACGGUCCAGACUCCUACGGGAGGCAGCAGUAGGGAAUCUUCCGCAAUGGGCGAAAGCCUGACGGAGCAACGCCGCGUGAGUGAUGAAGGUCUUCGGAUCGUAAAACUCUGUUAUUAGGGAAGAACAAAUGUGUAAGUAACUAUGCACGUCUUGACGGUACCUAAUCAGAAAGCCACGGCUAACUACGUG